Long non-coding RNA from Alexandromys fortis (reed vole), 1451 nucleotides. RefSeq lists it as uncharacterized. NCBI's taxonomy places the organism in Eukaryota, Metazoa, Chordata, Mammalia, Rodentia, Cricetidae. The transcript is spliced from 3 exons. The record is from RefSeq and is a predicted model, not a curated record.
UUUAUGUGACUUGACAUUUAUGUUAGUUUUAAAACCCUUCAUUCUCUGUUUUUAAUGUUUUAAAUAUAUCAUUAUAUAUAUUCCAGGUCUUUCCUAUUUGGUGUUCAGUAAGCCUUUUGUGCAAAAAUUGGCAUCUCUUUAGUAAAAGUAUCUUUUCCUAUGUCUUUACUGAAUGUAUUCUCUAUGCUUUGCUAUGUUAUUGUUCAUCCUUCCUCUAUGCCCACAAUUCAGAGGUUACAUCUGUUCUCAGUGCCUCAAAAACUCUCCCAUGGUUCCAUUUAUGUGUUCUUUUUUAAAAAAAAAUUCUCAUUGUUCUUUACUAAAUGAUCCAAUGCCUUUAUUUUGUUUUCCGUCCUUCACAUCCUGCCUCCAACACAAUCCAUUCUGUUGGUGAGGCUUUUCAUUGGAGUUUUUAGUGGCCUCAUUGAAUUUUUCAGUUGGAUUUCUUGAGUUCAUUCUUUUUUGUGUCUUUACACCUCUAUAUUAUUUGUCAGGUACAAUAUAUUCAAAGUUAACUUGAAGGAAUUAUAAGCACAAAUUUAUAUAAUAUAGAUGAGGACAGAGAGAGCCAUAUACUGUACUGCCCAAAGUUUGAUCACAGUAUGGAUACUUUGUACCAUGAAAGAAUUGUCUUCUCCAGUUCUGAAUGAAUUUCUUUCAGAAAUGCAGGAAACUGUGUGUAAUGAUCACAAGUGUUGAUAAAGAUUGGCUGGGGUUGGAGAUAAAGAAGAAGGUCUCUGAUAUGAUAUGCUUUUAUAGAAUUCCAAGAAAUAAUGGCAAUACCACCUGCAUAGCAGAGGGGGAGAUAAGUAGGGCAGGGUUGUGCCUUAUACAACUCCAGGUACACCCACUUUGGAAACAUAUAAAUUAGGAACAGCUCAACUUUCAGUCAAGGUCUCUUCUGACAAGAUGAAGACUGCCAGCUUCUUCCUCCUCGCAUUGCUUCUCUUCCUGGUGACAGAAGCCACUGGGAAGAAAACCAAACAAAAAUUCUCACAGUCUGAAGAAACGGCCAGCGAGAGCUAUGAAACAGGCUCGGGGGAGAGGAGGUUUGCAUUAGGUUCUCCUACAUCAUACUCCCUUGACAAGGCGGAUAUCUCUUUCAGUGACCACAGAGCCUCCUCCAGUGAGGAAAGCUAUGAGGAAUCAAGUAAUAAAAAAAGUAAAGUUAGCUCUGGGGAUCACAGUGGUUCUAAUACAGAAAGUGAGAGUUCAUUUGUAAAGAGAAAGAAGAGCCGGUUUUCUCAAGACCUGUCUUAGAUAAUACAUUCACUGACCAGCAGAGGGUCUGGACCAAUAUGAUGGAGUCAAACCACCUAGACGAAGCCUGGGAUGUCUUCAUGCAGCUCCCAUGUGGUCCCCAAGGCAGUCCAUGGACGACGCUUCCCUCUCACACUUGCUUGUCUUGAGAAUCCUAAAUCUCACAUUCAUUAUGAUAAUUUCUUUCCAAU